CCAGACUCCUACGGGAGGCAGCAGUGAGGAAUAUUGGUCAAUGGGCGCGAGCCUGAACCAGCCAAGUCGCGUGAGGGAAGACGGCCCUACGGGUUGUAAACCUCUUUUGUCGGGGAGCAAAGCGAACCACGUGUGGUUCAUUGAGAGUACCCGAAGAAAAAGCAUCGGCUAACUCCGUGCCAGCAGCCGCGGUAAUACGGAGGAUGCGAGCGUUAUCCGGAUUUAUUGGGUUUAAAGGGUGCGCAGGCGGAGGUGCAAGUCAGCGGUCAAAUUGCGGGGCUCAACCCCGUGCUGCCGUUGAAACUGCAUGCCUUGAGUGCGCGAGAAGUAUGCGGAAUGCGUGGUG
This 346-nucleotide ribosomal RNA is filed under the name uncultured bacterium. RNAcentral's name for it is "bacterial SSU rRNA". It matches the Rfam family "Bacterial small subunit ribosomal RNA", at positions 331 to 675 of the family's 1533-position model. The record is from RNAcentral.